AGCGACCAUGUGGACACUCAUCAUCUGGAUUUUGUGGGCAGCUAAUCUAACAGAUCUGAGUCAUGGCGAUUCUGUCACUCAGUCACUCUCCUCAGAUAUUCGGACAGAAGAAGAGGAAGUGACUCUAAGCUGUACCUAUGAUACCACAUUGAGCAAAUAUUCAUUAUUCUGGUACCGACAGCAUCCAGACUCACAGCCCGAGUUCAUAGCGUUGAAAACUUAUGCUGGUUAUGAGGACAAAGCAGAUUUUGCUGAAAGUCGCUUCUCAAUCGAGCUUCAGACCUUGUAUAAAUUCACCAGUUUGACUAUCACUGAGCUAGAACUGGCUGAUGCUGCGGUGUAUUACUGCGCUUUCUGGACCAGCACAGUGGUGUCAAUCAGUCUCCCCCCUGUACAAAAAUUGUCUUUGCAUCAUAGAAUUAUCGAGAUUGGAAGCGAGUACCGAACAUCUGAUGAGAAGAUAAACAACUUGUGA
Hemiscyllium ocellatum (epaulette shark) is the source of this 475-nucleotide non-coding RNA. Lineage: Eukaryota; Metazoa; Chordata; Chondrichthyes; Orectolobiformes; Hemiscylliidae. The record is from the annotation of a RefSeq genome assembly.